RNAcentral lists this long non-coding RNA (1039 nucleotides) under Phasianus colchicus (ring-necked pheasant). RNAcentral's name for it is "lncRNA (ENSPCLG00000010138.1)". The record is from RNAcentral. Lineage: Eukaryota; Metazoa; Chordata; Aves; Galliformes; Phasianidae.
CGCCGUCCCCGCGCGGAGCGGCUGGGAUCGGAGCGGGGCGGCCCGGCCGUGAGGAGCUCCCAGCGCCCCGCACCGCCCGGCCCGGGCUGGGAGCGCUCCCCGCGGGGGGCCGGCGGCGGGCAGGGCAGGGCAGAGCAGGGCGGCGGGGGUGGGAUCUGCUCCGCGUAAUCCCCCCGGGGGGCGGCGGGCCGCUCUCGGAGCAUCCCCCCCGUCCCCGGCGCGGGGAGGGGAGAGCCGCCACCCCCCGCUUCCUCCGUUUAAGACCCGGGCCGGCGAGGCGAGAGCGGAGGAGAGCGGCCGCUCCGCAGCUGCCGGCCCCAUUUCGGCGGCGGGGCGGGCGCUGGAUGAGCCGCCGGCGGGAGGCGGCCGGCAGCCGAGCGGGUCCGAUCGCGGCGCGAUGAGCGCGGGCGGCAGCGGCUCGGCGGGCACCGCCACCUCCGCGCUGUGCCUGCUCCUCUCGCUCACCGCCGUGGCCGUGUGCCUGCUGCUGGGCGCUAAGACCGCCGAGCUGCAGGGCCGCCUGGCCGCCCUGGAGGAGCGCGGCGCCGCCGGCCCCGGGCCGCUGCUGGACGCGCUGCAGCCCCGCGUGGAGCAGCUCCUGCGCGAGAAGCUGGGCGAAGGACUCGCGAAGCUGCGGACGGCGAGAGAGGCUCCGUCAGACUGCAUGUGCCCACCAGGCCCUCCGGGGAGGCGAGGGAAGCCUGGACGGCGUGGAGAGCCUGGACCUGCAGUAAGUAUCGUGGAUUUUACAGUUGGAUCGACAAAGUUAAGGCUUUCUCCUUCACCCUCCCCUUCCUUUCUGUGUCAUUGCAAAAGCACAGCAUUUUUUGGUAGAGGUGUGUCUGGAAGGAAAAUUGGUACCAGAUGCUGCUGUAUUUUUUUCACAAUUGUAGACAAAUGGUGUGGGGGGAGUUCUAAAAUGUUUAACUUGCUGCCCUCGGGGACUUCCAGUAAUUUUAAACCCAGCAAAUAUUCAGAAGGAAAAAAAAAAAGAAAGGUUUCCCUUUAGAGUUUCUUUACUCAGCUUCUAUUGAACCCC